This 1209-nucleotide ribosomal RNA is filed under the name Cypridina dentata. RNAcentral's name for it is "16S ribosomal RNA". The stretch from base 518 to 1209 matches the Rfam family "Archaeal large subunit ribosomal RNA", at positions 1423 to 2793 of the family's 2987-position model. The record is from RNAcentral. Lineage: Eukaryota; Metazoa; Arthropoda; Ostracoda; Myodocopida; Cypridinidae.
GAUGGCUCUAGGUUGAAAAAUUUGAUAUUAAAGUGAAUAGUUAUAGUAUUUUAUGAGAAAAUGUGUUUAAUUAUAAAACUGAAAAGGUAAGAUAAAAGAUAGUAAAUAGAAGGGUUAUAGUGACGUACCUUUUGCAUCAGGGCUUAUUAAAUUUAGGUUAUAUAAGAGUUCUCGAGGUAACAGGGGCUAUUGUGUACAGAUAUUGUUUUCGUGGUAGUGAAAUUUGGUAGUAUGUGAUAGUAAUGAGAUAUUAACCGGCUGUUAGGAUAUCUAGUUUUUUACUAAAUAGUUAAUGCUAGUGAGGUUAAAGUCUGUAAGAUUAGUUACAGGCUGGUUUAAUUUUUUUGUAUUUAUUAAGUAUGGGUUGCUUUAAUGGUAAGAAUUAGUUAGUGUGUUAUUACAAGUACUUAUUAUAUUUGGAUUAAAAGUAAAAUUAGGGUAUAGUAAAUGUUUUAAUUUAAUGUUAAAUUUAAAUUGAUAAUGAUAAGAUGAGUAUAUUUUGUUUAAUAAUUGAAAUUAUAUUAGAAGUAAAAGUGUUUAAGUAAAAGUUAAUUAUAAAUAACUCGGCAAUAAAGUUCUAAAAUGUUUAACAAAAACAUUUCCUUUUCAGUGAAAGGUAAAUUCUGCCCGGUGCGAAAGUAAACGGCUGCGGUAUCCUGACCGUGCGAAGGUAGCAAAAUAAAUAGUCUUUUAAUUGGGGACUGGUAUGAAAGAUUUAAUUAGGAACUUGCUUUUUUGUAUUUAAAUAUAGAAUUUGAUUAAUAAGUUAAAAGGCUUAUAUAUAUUAAAGUGACAAGAAGACCCUAAAAGUUUUACAGAUAAUGUUGAUUUGAGGUAGUUAGUUGUCGAUAUUUUGUUUGAUUGAUUCUGUUUGACUGGGGCGGUUUAAAUAUUAUCUAUUUAGUAUUGGACUUAAAUAUGAGAAGUGAAUUAUUUAGUAUCCUUUUUGGAAAGCAAUAUAAAUUACUUUAGGGAUAACAGCAUAAUCUUUUUUGAGAGACCGUAUUGACAAAAAGGUUUGUGACCUCGAUGUUGGAUUUGAAUAACUUUUUGGAGCAGCAUUUAAAUAAGUUGGUCUGUUCGACCAUUAAAUUUCAACAUGAUCUGAGUUCAGACCGGCGUGAGCCAGGUCAGAUUAUAUCUUUUAAUUUUAUUAGUUUGGUUUUGUACGCAAGGACUUAUUAAACGGGAAUUUCUAUUAAUAAUUAG